This 835-nucleotide ribosomal RNA is filed under the name Saccharothrix sp. IM-5978. RNAcentral describes it as "bacterial SSU rRNA". It matches the Rfam family "Bacterial small subunit ribosomal RNA", at positions 38 to 889 of the family's 1533-position model. The record is from RNAcentral. Lineage: Bacteria; Bacillati; Actinomycetota; Actinomycetes; Pseudonocardiales; Pseudonocardiaceae.
GGCGGCGUGCUUAACACAUGCAAGUCGAGCGGUAAGGCCCUUCGGGGUACACGAGCGGCGAACGGGUGAGUAACACGUGGGUAAUCUGCCCUGCACUCUGGGAUAAGCCUGGGAAACUGGGUCUAAUACCGGAUAUGACAACCUUGGGCAUCCAGGGUUGUGGAAAGUUCCGGCGGUGCAGGAUGGGCCCGCGGCCUAUCAGCUUGUUGGUGGGGUAAUGGCCUACCAAGGCGACGACGGGUAGCCGGCCUGAGAGGGCGACCGGCCACACUGGGACUGAGACACGGCCCAGACUCCUACGGGAGGCAGCAGUGGGGAAUAUUGCGCAAUGGGCGAAAGCCUGACGCAGCGACGCCGCGUGAGGGAUGACGGCCUUCGGGUUGUAAACCUCUUUCAGUGCCGACGAAGCGAAAGUGACGGUAGGUACAGAAGAAGCACCGGCCAACUACGUGCCAGCAGCCGCGGUAAUACGUAGGGUGCGAGCGUUGUCCGGAAUUAUUGGGCGUAAAGAGCUCGUAGGCGGUUUGUUGCGUCGGCGGUGAAAACUUCACGCUUAACGUGGAGCCUGCGGUCGAUACGGGCAGACUUGAGUUCGGCAGGGGAGACUGGAAUUCCUGGUGUAGCGGUGAAAUGCGCAGAUAUCAGGAGGAACACCGGUGGCGAAGGCGGGUCUCUGGGCCGAUACUGACGCUGAGGAGCGAAAGCGUGGGGAGCGAACAGGAUUAGAUACCCUGGUAGUCCACGCCGUAAACGGUGGGUGCUAGGUGUGGGGGGCUUCCACGUCCUCCGUGCCGCAGCUAACGCAUUAAGCACCCCGCCUGGGGAGUACGGCCGC